GGUUGUGACUUAGCGGUAGGGUGCUUGCCUAGCAUGCAUAAGGCCCUGGGUUCAAUCCUCAGCACCA
Molecule: transfer RNA, 67 nt
Filed under: Marmota monax (woodchuck)
Lineage: Eukaryota; Metazoa; Chordata; Mammalia; Rodentia; Sciuridae
Description: tRNA.Ala
Source: RNAcentral